GGAGGAGCAGAAAGAGCAGGAAGGCUGGUCCGCCAACACCGCGGCCACUGCGGGAGAGGCCAGGAAGAUCACUGGUGACUUUGCCCCCAAGAGCCUGGCAGAAAUGGAAGCAGAUGGCAAGGGGCUCUGAUUCCUGGAACACGAGGCGCCAUCCCCCCGCCUGAGGUAAAUAAGAUGUUUUAACCAUUAAAGACCAAAGAAGGGAUAAUGUUUUCCUACACCCACACCACUGAAGCACCUCUGCAGGAAAAGAAACCUGCAUGUGUAUGUAAAGCAAUCUGUCCCUAACAGAGGACACCACUGGCAGAGCAUGAGUUGACCAAUCCAGUGUGGAAGGGGCUGCAAUUACCAGAACCCUUAGGGAAGCUCCGCUCCACUGUGUCCGCAGCAGGACACAGCUGCCGGCACUUAACUGGCCACCAAGCCUCGGGGACACCGGCAGGCCCGCCUGACAGGCUGGGAAGCUGGCCUGGGGCCACAUUUUCAAUUGUGCUGACAUGAAGACGCUUCCUAGGCAAGAUCUCCUCCUAUCUGAGGCUCUCGACCAGCAGACAACUAAGGAAGGUAACCGAGAGUCUACUUUUCCAUAUUUUUACCACAGGUUUAAAAUAAGGUACUUUGCUUAAUUAAGUGUGGAAUCUAAGAAAAGGAUACAGAUGAACUUAUUUACAAAACAGAGAGAGACUCAGAGACUUAAACAAACUUAUGGUUACCAAACGAGAAGGUGGAAGAGGGAUACAUCAGGAGUUUGGAAUUAAUGUGUGCUGACACUGUAUAUAAAAUUUUUUUAAAAAGGGACCUACUUUAUAGCAUGGGGAACUAUAUUCAGUAUCUUAUAAUAACCUACAAAGGGAAAGAAUCUGAAGAAGAAAUAUAGAUGUUUACAACUGAGUCAGUCUGCUGUACAUCUGAAACCAAUGUUACCAACCCAGGUUCUUGGACUCUGCAAUCAAUAGAAAUUUCUUGAUAAGAGACCAGAUGAGUAAUUCAGACAAGACUUUACUGGGACUUGUGCUGCAGCAGUGAGGAGCAAGAAUAAGCAACAGGUGUCCUUGCUGGCUCCCUGAGUGGGGGUAGUGAGCAGAUUAAAGGUUACUUGGCCAGAGACGACCCAGCCCUGUGGUCUGUGGACUUGAUGGUAGAGUUAGUGGCAAUCUCCAAGAGGACUUAUGUCAAGGGAUCCCUUCUAGGACUGCUGCUGCCAGUACCCCUCUCCCCACAGCGAGCCACUGCUGACCUGUGCCUCCCCAAUACCAGCAGGUAAGUCUGGGUCAGUCUCCUGUGAGGUCACUGCUCCUUUCCCCUGGGUCUUGGUUUGUGUGCUUCAAGAGAGGAGUCUAUUUCCCCCAGGCAUGUGGAAGUCCUGUAAUUAAAUCCCACUGACCUUCAAAGGCAGGUUCCUUGGGGAUUCCCAGUCCCUUUGUUGGAUCCCCAGGCUGGGAAGCCUGAUGUGGAACUAAAAACCUUCACAACCGUGGGAGAACUUCUUUGGU
Cervus elaphus (red deer) is the source of this 1493-nucleotide long non-coding RNA. RefSeq lists it as uncharacterized. The record is from RefSeq and is a predicted model, not a curated record. NCBI's taxonomy places the organism in Eukaryota, Metazoa, Chordata, Mammalia, Artiodactyla, Cervidae. The transcript has 3 exons.